GACAGAGGAUGCAAGCGUUAUCCGGAAUGAUUGGGCGUAAAGCGUCUGUAGGUGGCUUUUCAAGUCCGCCGUCAAAUCCCAGGGCUCAACCCUGGACAGGCGGUGGAAACUACCAAGCUGGAGUACGGUAGGGGCAGAGGGAAUCUCCGGUGGAGCGGUGAAAUGCAUUGAGAUCGGAAGGAACGCCCGUGGCGAAAGCGAGGUCCUGGACGCCUACUGACGCUGAGACGCGAAAGCCAGGGGAGCGAACGGG
Molecule: ribosomal RNA, 253 nt
Filed under: uncultured bacterium
Lineage: Bacteria
Description: partial 16S ribosomal RNA
Rfam family: Bacterial small subunit ribosomal RNA
Source: RNAcentral